UGUGCAUGGCUAGCUACUUUUCUUAAUGGCUAUGAUUUAAGUAUUUGGGAUUUAGAGACUGAUGUGACUUUUUCCUCAUGGAACGGGAUCCUUUGCGGGGUGCUAUGCAUAUUUUGGGACAUCCAUCAAAAAAGGGAUGGUUAUAUGAUGUUUAUCUAAACUAUUUAAACAUCCCUAGGAUUUAUCCAUUCUUCUUUUCUUAGUAUUUUAACACGCGUGUGUAAGCACGCACAGCCACCCAUCUCCUAAUGGAUGUCUCCGAAGCAUGCACAGCACCACAGAGGAUCCAUUUUCUUUCCUCAUGUGGCUAGUGUC
RNAcentral lists this long non-coding RNA (315 nucleotides) under Elaeis guineensis (African oil palm). Its description in RNAcentral is "long non-coding RNA (EGUI_LNC009495)". Lineage: Eukaryota; Viridiplantae; Streptophyta; Magnoliopsida; Arecales; Arecaceae. The record is from RNAcentral.